GGACUACUGGGGUAUCUAAUCCUGUUUGAUCCCCGCACUUUCGUGCCUCAGCGUCAGUUACUCCUUGGUAAGCUGCCUUCGCUAUCGGUGUUCUUGACGAUAUCUAAGCAUUUCACCGCUACACCGUCAAUUCCGCCUACCUCAUCAGUACUCAAGUCCCGCAGUAUCAAUGGCACCUCGACAGUUGAGCUGCCGUAUUUCACCACUGACUUAUGGGACCGCCUACGCACCCUUUAAACCCAAUAAAUCCGGACAACGCUUGCCACCUACGUAUUACCGCGGCUGCUGGCAC
This 292-nucleotide ribosomal RNA is filed under the name uncultured bacterium. Its description in RNAcentral is "partial 16S ribosomal RNA". RNAcentral also lists the same sequence under 1 other name. The record is from RNAcentral.